RNAcentral lists this ribosomal RNA (253 nucleotides) under uncultured bacterium. RNAcentral describes it as "partial 16S ribosomal RNA". It matches the Rfam family "Bacterial small subunit ribosomal RNA", at positions 524 to 776 of the family's 1533-position model. The record is from RNAcentral.
UACGUAGGGUGCAAGCGUUGUUCGGAAUCAUUGGGCGUAAAGAGCUCGUAGGCGGUUCGUCGCGUCGGCUGUGAAAUCCCGAGGCUCAACCUCGGGUCUGCAGUCGAUACGGGCGGACUGGAGUUCGGCAGGGGAGACUGGAAUUCCUGGUGUAGCGGUGAAAUGCGCAGAUAUCAGGAGGAACACCGGUGGCGAAGGCGGGUCUCUGGGCCGAUACUGACGCUGAGGAGCGAAAGCGUGGGGAGCGAACAGG